UAUAGAAUACAAUUAAUGAACUGAAAUAACUAACUCAAUUAAAUGAAAUGAGAUGAAAUGAACUGAAACGAAACGAACAAAACUAACACAAUAAAAUGGUAGGCUGAAUCAAAUGGCUGGGUGUUAUUUCAUACCGAGCUCAAAAUAAAUAGUAAUAUACCUUGCCACACAGGCAAGUCAAAUAAUGCCACACAGGCAAUCAAAAUAAUGCCACACAGGCAAUCACACAUCGGACUGCGCAAUCCAGAUGCGUGCAAAAUCGGAAGGCGUGUUUGGCACAAACAUCACCAAUCCGCAGAACAGAACAGAACAGAAACUAGGGUCGACCCAUACGCCUCCCACAACAAAACACCAAAUGGCCAACUCCCACCGGAGCACAAAACGGAGACGCCGUGGACUGAUCACACCGCCACGGAAGGUGUCAUGCCUCGGUGCCAAGAGGACAUGCUUGUGGUACCCCCACAUGUGGUUAUAGCUCAGGUAUACCCUACGGUAUUCUAACAA
This 504-nucleotide long non-coding RNA is filed under the name Panax ginseng (ginseng). Its description in RNAcentral is "long non-coding RNA (PGIN_LNC000494)". Lineage: Eukaryota; Viridiplantae; Streptophyta; Magnoliopsida; Apiales; Araliaceae. The record is from RNAcentral.